AACGUAGCGAAAGCUACGCUAAUACCGCAUACGAUCUACGGAUGAAAGCGGGGAUCGCAAGACCUCGCGCGAUUGGAGCGGCCGAUAUCAGAUUAGGUAGUUGGUGAGGUAAAGGCUCACCAAGCCGACGAUCUGUAGCUGGUCUGAGAGGACGACCAGCCACACUGGGACUGAGACACGGCCCAGACUCCUACGGGAGGCAGCAGUGGGAAUUUUGGACAAUGGGCGCAAGCCUGAUCCAGCAAUGCCGCGUGCAGGAUGAAGGCCUUCGGGUUGUAAACUGCUUUUGUACGGAACGAAACGGUGAGCUCUAAUACAGUUUGCUAAUGACGGUACCGUAAGAAUAAGCACCGGCUAACUACGUG
RNAcentral lists this ribosomal RNA (365 nucleotides) under uncultured bacterium. RNAcentral describes it as "bacterial SSU rRNA". It matches the Rfam family "Bacterial small subunit ribosomal RNA", at positions 145 to 507 of the family's 1533-position model. The record is from RNAcentral.